GCCAGGCGUGGUGGCGGGCACCUGUAAUCCUAGCUACUUGGGAGGCUGAGGCAGGAGAAUCACUUGAACCCAGGAGGCAGAGGUUGCAGUGAGCCGAGAUCACACCAUUGCACUCCAGCCUGGGUUACAGAGUGAGACCCUGUCUCAA
This is an unclassified non-coding RNA of Pongo abelii (Sumatran orangutan), 148 nucleotides long. It matches the Rfam family "Metazoan signal recognition particle RNA". Rfam says of the family: The signal recognition particle (SRP) is a universally conserved ribonucleoprotein. It is involved in the co-translational targeting of proteins to membranes. NCBI's taxonomy places the organism in Eukaryota, Metazoa, Chordata, Mammalia, Primates, Hominidae. The record is from Ensembl.